This is an RNA transcript of Rhinopithecus roxellana (golden snub-nosed monkey), 436 nucleotides long. It is a transcript of the gene named phosphatidylinositol N-acetylglucosaminyltransferase subunit P-like, with no coding region annotated. NCBI's taxonomy places the organism in Eukaryota, Metazoa, Chordata, Mammalia, Primates, Cercopithecidae. The transcript has a single exon. The record is from RefSeq and is a predicted model, not a curated record.
UGCGCCAAGAUUGUCUAAAGCCCCAGGAAAAAUGGUGGAAAAUUCACCGUCGCCAUUGCCAGAAAGAGCGAUUUAUGGCUUUGUUCUUUUCUUAAGCUCCCAGUUUGGCUUAAAUAUUGGGCAGUUGCAUUACCUGUCUACCUCCUUAUUACUAUAGUAAUUGGCUACGUGCUCUUGUUUGUGAUUAACAUGAUGAGUACCUCUCCACUCGACUCCAUUCAUACAAUCACAGAUAACUAUGCUAAAAAUCAACAGCAGAAGAAAUACCAAGAGGAAGCCAUUCCAGCAUUAACAGAUAUUUCUAUUAGUGAAGUAAACCAGGUGUUCUUUCUUGCAGCCAAAGAACUUUACACCAAAAACUGAACUGUAUGUAACCAUACUAACACCAAGCACGUAUUUAUUUAUAAGUUUUUGCCAUUAUAAUUUUGGCCAUAAA